UGCCAUUCGGUGUCGUGUUAUCUUGAAAUAUAAGUACACAGUUUUGGAUUAUGAAGAAAAAUUGCCCACUUAGAGGGGAACACGAAACUGCAUUGAAAAUGAAAAAAAAUCUGGAGCAAAAUUAAACAUACAAAUCUAUGCCCAGUCCCACUAGACCACGAUCGCACCACGCUCACCACGAUCUGAAAUAAAUAAAGAUCGUGGUGAGGUCGCGGUAUGAGCGGCAUGAAAAUGUAAAUUUUCGUUGCUUUCACGAUGCUACUACGUCCUCAUUACGCUUCUACAACGAUCCCGCUACGAUUAUACCACGUUCUCACAGCGCUUAUUCUGCGACCUCACUACGCUUAUCAAGAUCUGUCUACGCUCAUCACGUUCUCACUACGACCGUACCACGAGUCAUCCGAUUGCAACACGAUCUUACCACGCUUCUUCUGCGAUUAUAGCACGUUCUUACCACGAUUUUACCGCGAUCUAUUCUACGCUCUCAGCAAUAACGUCAACAUCGUGUUCCAUAUGAAUACAGUUCCAUUCCUUCUAUUUCUGAUUAAUACGUUUUCUCGAAAACAAUAGUCAUGCCACCAAAAUCUACUAGAACACGUGGACGUGGUGGUAGGGGUUGAUGUAGAGGCAGAGGGAGCUCUGAUAGUAACGAAUCUUGAUCAAGUAGUUAUGUCGGACCGACCAAUCCGACGUAAAUUAAAACCUAUUGCUGGUCUAUAAAGCUGAAUUUACGAUAUUUUAGUGAACGAUAGCAGAGAUGACACAGAUGUGUCAAUAGAUAUAGGAAGAUGUGGUAUGAGUCAAUGAGACAACUCUCCAUCGCCAAGUAACUAUUUUUAAAAGUAAACCAUUAUAGGCCAAGGAACGGCCUUCAACACGGAGCCUUGGCUCACACCGAACAGCAAGCUAUAAAGGGUCUCCAAAAUUACUAGUGUAAAACCAUAAAAACGGGAAAAUCAACGGUUUAAUCUAUAUGAAAACGAGAAGCAUGGCUGAGCCGUAGGACAAAAUGAACAAGAAGUCCCAAUUACAUACAGACAAACAAAACCUUAAGAUAUUUAAUAUAUUUAAUGUGAAAAUGACAAUGAGAAUGAUGAUCGUAGUAUGAACGUAGUCAGGUCGUAAGAAGAGCGUGAUGACGACGGCAAGGGCGUGCUAGAAUCGUACUAUGGUCGUGAAUAGCGUGGUAUAGUCGUAGUGGAGAGUAAUUGGGUCGCGAUGAGAACGUGAUGGUCGUAGUGAGGUCGUAAUAACGUCGCAAUGAGAUCGUAGCGCAGUUUCUCCGAAUAGAAUCACGCUCUCGCUACGAUGGUACAGCGACCUUUGCGAUCUUACUACGAUCUUAGUGCGCUCUCACUACGCUUCUACUACGAUCUGAUUUCGCCACGACCGCACCACGAUUGUUUUGAACAUGUUCAAAGUUAGCCACGCUCAUCACGAUCUUGAAGACCUCACCACGACCGUGAUACGACCUUACUGCGAUCUACACGAUCGUACUACGAUCAUCAAAAUUUGCAUUUUUUUCACAGAUCGUAGUGCGAUCGUGGCCUAGUGGGACUGGGGUAUUAGAAAAAGACACUACUUUUAAAAAAGAAAAAAAAUAACAUUAAGAGAUACAAUCAUAAUAAUUAAGUGAAAUAAAAAAAGACGUAGAUAACUAGAAUGGCAUCUUCUAUGAGGGUGUGGAUGGAGUUUUACAGAAUAGAGAAUAAUGGGCUAAAAAAAAAGAAUAGAAAAGAAAAGGAUAGGCCAAAAAUUUAAGAAUAGAGAAUAGUGGGCUUCUUGAAUAUAAAAAAGAGAAUAAUGGGCAAAAUUUAUAUAGAAUAGAGAAAAAAUGGCGUAAAUAAUAUUAAGAAUUGAAGAACACCCACCUCUCUCCUUUUCCAGACCCUCUUUUAUCCUAUGACUGUUAACAAACAUAUAUAUAUAUACAAUGCUAGGCGGUGUUGUCGUAGAAGUUAGAAAAAAAGUACAGGUUCCAGCCCCGGCGCCGGGGAGGAAGUUACGAAUCAAAUCUACUCUAACAUCGGUAGGUUGAUUUUCUAGGCACUUUAUA
This 2056-nucleotide long non-coding RNA is filed under the name Mytilus galloprovincialis (Mediterranean mussel). The record is from RNAcentral. Lineage: Eukaryota; Metazoa; Mollusca; Bivalvia; Mytilida; Mytilidae.